RNAcentral lists this long non-coding RNA (1103 nucleotides) under Homo sapiens (human). RNAcentral describes it as "HSALNT0186432". The record is from RNAcentral. Lineage: Eukaryota; Metazoa; Chordata; Mammalia; Primates; Hominidae.
AGACGUGGCGGCUCUCGCCUGGGCUGUUUCCCGGCUUCAUUUCUCCCGACUCAGCUUCCCACCCUGGGCUUUCCGAGGUGCUGUCGCCGCUGUCCCCACCACUGCAGCCAUGAUCUCCUUAACGGACACGCAGAAAAUUGGAAUGGGAUUAACAGGAUUUGGAGUGUUUUUCCUGUUCUUUGGAAUGAUUCUCUUUUUUGACAAAGCACUACUGGCUAUUGGAAAUAAGAGGAAUGAGACAAGUGGAACAAAGCUACAACUUUAAAAUGCAUAACCCACUCCUUGGUUCUGCUGCUUGGUUGUACAUUACAGUUCUGUCUGGCCAGUUGCCCACAUUAAAAGCCAAACAAAUGUGCUUCUUUUUUUAUAUUUAGCUUUGACUUUACGUUUAAAAUUUAUGCAUUGUGUUUAAUUACCUUUUCCGUGUUGUAUUUUCUUUCUCUUUUAGGUUUUAUUUGUAGCCGGCUUGGCUUUUGUAAUUGGUUUAGAAAGAACAUUCAGAUUCUUCUUCCAAAAACAUAAAAUGAAAGCUACAGGUUUUUUUCUGGGUGGUGUAUUUGUAGUCCUUAUUGGUUGGCCUUUGAUAGGCAUGAUCUUCGAAAUUUAUGGAUUUUUUCUCUUGUUCAGGGGCUUCUUUCCUGUCGUUGUUGGCUUUAUUAGAAGAGUGCCAGUCCUUGGAUCCCUCCUAAAUUUACCUGGAAUUAGAUCAUUUGUAGAUAAAGUUGGAGAAAGCAACAAUAUGGUAUAACAACAAGUGAAUUUGAAGACUCAUUUAAAAUAUUGUGUUAUUUAUAAAGUCAUUUGAAGAAUAUUCAGCACAAAAUUAAAUUACAUGAAAUAGCUUGUAAUGUUCUUUACAGGAGUUUAAAACGUAUAGCCUACAAAGUACCAGCAGCAAAUUAGCAAAGAAGCAGUGAAAACAGGCUUCUACUCAAGUGAACUAAGAAGAAGUCAGCAAGCAAACUGAGAGAGGUGAAAUCCAUGUUAAUGAUGCUUAAGAAACUCUUGAAGGCUAUUUGUGUUGUUUUUCCACAAUGUGCGAAACUCAGCCAUCCUUAGAGAACUGUGGUGCCUGUUUCUUUUCUUUUUAUUUUGAAGGCUCA